UACGAAGGGGGCAAGCGUUGUUCGGAAUUAUUGGGCGUAAAGAGCUCGUAGGCGGUUUGUCGCGUCGGAUGUGAAAUCCCGGGGCUUAACCCCGGGUCUGCAUUCGAUACGGGCUGACUAGAGUUCGGCAGGGGAGACUGGAAUUCCUGGUGUAGCGGUGAAAUGCGCAGAUAUCAGGAGGAACACCGGUGGCGAAGGCGGGUCUCUGGGCCGAUACUGACGCUGAGGAGCGAAAGCGUGGGGAGCGAACAGG
Molecule: ribosomal RNA, 253 nt
Filed under: uncultured bacterium
Lineage: Bacteria
Description: partial 16S ribosomal RNA
Rfam family: Bacterial small subunit ribosomal RNA
Source: RNAcentral